UGAUGUUAGCGGCGGAGGGGAGAACACGUGGGUAACCUGCCUGUAAGACUGGGAUAAUCCGUGGAAACCGGGGCUAAUACCGGAUGGUUGUUUGAACCGCAUGGUUCAGACAUAAAAGGUGGCUUCGGCUACCACUUACAGAUGGACCCGCGGCGCAUUAGCUAGUUGGUGAGGUAACGGCUCACCAAGGCAACGAUGCGUAGCCGACCUGAGAGGGUGAUCGGCCACACUGGGACUGAGACACGGCCCAGACUCCUACGGGAGGCAGCAGUAGGGAAUCUUCCGCAAUGGACGAAAGUCUGACGGAGCAACGCCGCGUGAGUGAUGAAGGUUUUCGGAUCGUAAAGCUCUGUUGUUAGGGAAGAACAAGUGCCGUUCAAAUAGGGCGGCACCUUGACGGUACCUAACCAGAAAGCCACGGCUAACUACGUGCCAGCAGCCGCGGUAAUACGUAGGUGGCAAGCGUUGUCCGGAAUUAUUGGGCGUAAAGGGCUCGCAGGCGGUUUCUUAAGUCUGAUGUGAAAGCCCCCGGCUCAACCGGGGAGGGUCAUUGGAAACUGGGGAACUUGAGUGCAGAAGAGGAGAGUGGAAUUCCACGUGUAGCGGUGAAAUGCGUAGAGAUGUGGAGGAACACCAGUGGCGAAGGCGACUCUCUGGUCUGUAACUGACGCUGAGGAGCGAAAGCGUGGGGAGCGAACAGGAUUAGAUACCCUGGUAGUCCACGCCGUAAACGAUGAGUGCUAAGUGUUAGGGGGUUUCCGCCCCUUAGUGCUGCAGCUAACGCAUUAAGCACUCCGCCUGGGGAGUACGGUCGCAAGACUGAAACUCAAAGGAAUUGACGGGGGCCCGCACAAGCGGUGGAGCAUGUGGUUUAAUUCGAAGCAACGCGAAGAACCUUACCAGGUCUUGACAUCCUCUGACAAUCCUAGAGAUAGGACGUCCCCUUCGGGGGCAGAGUGACAGGUGGUGCAUGGUUGUCGUCAGCUCGUGUCGUGAGAUGUUGGGUUAAGUCCCGCAACGAGCGCAACCCUUGAUCUUAGUUGCCAGCAUUCAGUUGGGCACUCUAAGGUGACUGCCGGUGACAAACCGGAGGAAGGUGGGGAUGACGUCAAAUCAUCAUGCCCCUUAUGACCUGGGCUACACACGUGCUACAAUGGGCAGAACAAAGGGCAGCGAAACCGCGAGGUUAAGCCAAUCCCACAAAUCUGUUCUCAGUUCGGAUCGCAGUCUGCAACUCGACUGCGUGAAGCUGGAAUCGCUAGUAAUCGCGGAUCACCUAUUCCUCUUAAUACGUUCCCGGGCCUUGUACA
RNAcentral lists this ribosomal RNA (1310 nucleotides) under Bacillus subtilis. RNAcentral describes it as "bacterial SSU rRNA". It matches the Rfam family "Bacterial small subunit ribosomal RNA", at positions 87 to 1387 of the family's 1533-position model. Lineage: Bacteria; Bacillati; Bacillota; Bacilli; Caryophanales; Bacillaceae. The record is from RNAcentral.